UGUUUAUGUGGUGUAGUGGUUAUCACGUUUGCCUUACGCGCAAAAGGUCUCCGGUUCGAUCCCGGGCAAGAAUAU
Molecule: transfer RNA, 75 nt
Filed under: Helianthus annuus (common sunflower)
Lineage: Eukaryota; Viridiplantae; Streptophyta; Magnoliopsida; Asterales; Asteraceae
Description: tRNA-Val
Rfam family: tRNA
About the family: Transfer RNA (tRNA) molecules are approximately 80 nucleotides in length.
Source: RNAcentral